GAGUUUGAACCUGGCUCAGGAUGAACGCUGGCGGCGUGCUUAACACAUGCAAGUCGAAUGUAGCAAUACAUGGCGGACGGGUGAGUAACGCGUGAGCAAUCUGCCCAUAUCUGGGGGAUAACAGUUGGAAACGACUGAUAAUACCGCAUAACAUGGUUUGAAGGCAUCUUCUUUCCAUCAAAGAUUUAUCGGAUAUGGAUGAGCUCGCGUCUGAUUAGCUUGUUGGUGAGGUAACGGCUCACCAAGGCGACGAUCAGUAGCCGACCUGAGAGGGUGAUCGGCCACAUUGGAACUGAGACACGGUCCAAACUCCUACGGGAGGCAGCAGUGGGGAAUAUUGGGCAAUGGAGGAAACUCUGACCCAGCAACGCCGCGUGAAUGAUGAAGGUCUUCGGAUUGUAAAGUUCUUUUCUAAGGGAAGAAGAAAGUGACGGUACCUUAGGAAUAAGCCUCGGCUAACUACGUGCCAGCAGCCGCGGCAAUACGUA
Molecule: ribosomal RNA, 488 nt
Filed under: uncultured bacterium
Lineage: Bacteria
Description: bacterial SSU rRNA
Rfam family: Bacterial small subunit ribosomal RNA
Source: RNAcentral